GAUGAAGUAGUUUAUUUAAAAAUGUAAGAUUGUCGAUCUUAGGAAGUCAUUGGACCUUUGUCU
Molecule: transfer RNA, 63 nt
Filed under: Ruditapes decussatus
Lineage: Eukaryota; Metazoa; Mollusca; Bivalvia; Venerida; Veneridae
Description: tRNA-Asp
Source: RNAcentral